CUGAGGAACUCGCACCGUUGUUGCUGGCCUUCGGGCAUGUGCACGCGGUUGCACUCUUCUUAUUCCACACCUGUGAACCGUUUAACGAGUGGAGUUGCGUUCGCGCGCUUUAACUCGCUACUACACACUACUUCGAACAACUCAGAACGUCUUGACAUUAUUAAAUGUAA
Molecule: unclassified non-coding RNA, 170 nt
Filed under: uncultured Polyporales
Lineage: Eukaryota; Fungi; Basidiomycota; Agaricomycetes; Polyporales
Description: sequence contains ITS1
Source: RNAcentral